UUACUAUCUAUGUCCACAAGAUGGUAGACACGACCAGGAAGAGCCUGCAGGAGACUGGCUGUCAGCCUCCAGGCUGGCAGACCGGUGUGGUCUCUGGAUUCUGUAGCAUGGUUAGUAGGCAAAGGCUGUGAGAGUAGGAGUCCAUGAUAGCUCUUCCUGUGAGCAGGCAAAAGGAUCAGAUGAGAGGACAAUGAAGAAGCUGGGAGGCAGUCAUGGGAAGGGGCGGAAGGAGAUAAACAAAUGUGAACAAAAUGUCUGGAGAGAGGAGAUAAGGUUGUUUUGAUAAAGAGUUGAGGCACAGAAGACAAACUGCAGAGACAAGAAGCAUGUCAGAGGAACUGGAACACCAGGAGAGACGACUGCUAGGACAGAUUCCAGCUUACUGGAUCUUAAAGGAGGAGCAGAGACAGAAGAAACAGAAUGAGCCAAGUUCACAGCCAGUUAUUAGCAGUACUUCUGAUGGGUUGGAGCAGAGCUUCAUGGAAAAGGGUUCUUGCUCUGGUGACGAUAACUACAGACAUGAAGGACAGAGACACAACUUUGAGACAUACUGGAACUUUGGGAACAAGACUGAUGAGCAAAGUUCCGAGUCAAAACGCCAGGAGGAACAUGAAGAACUGGAAAUGAGGUGUGAGACCUCCUUUCAACAUUUCUUGUAAGGCAGGUCUAAUGGUGAUGAACUCUCUGCUUUUAUUUGUCUGGGAAAGCCUUCUUUUUCCUUCAUAUCUGAAAGUCUAGAUAUUUCAGCUUUCAUCAAAAACCAACACUGAAGAACCGUGAAAGAAACUGGCAACUUCCACCCACUGAUGCUACAGAGAGAAACACGCAGGCGUGGUCUCAGUAAAAGUAGCCACACGUGGAAAGCAAUAGCACCUAGGAUAUUUAACUCUGAAAGAAAUUUACAACAUACAUAGCAGAAACAUCACAUAUGUAUUGGCUAUGUCUGUGCACAUAAUGUGUGCUUGUCUGUGUGGAGGUACACGCUGGUACACGUAUAUGUUCUAUUUCAUUUGUACGAUGGGAAAUCCUUCUAACUGUGCAAAUCAGAGAGUCAGUCUGCUAAGCAGUAUGGGAAGGUAGCGAGAAUACUCUACCUUCUUUGCUGGAGAUCAGACCCAAAAGAGAUGUGCUUGUUCUACUUUAGGAAACAAAUACCAGCUACUGUGUUUCAGUCCCUGCUAAUUUUCUGUCUCCUAACUGCUGCCUCACGACUCUAUCUGCUGCUGAACUUGACCUCUGAGCCCAGCCUGCUCUUCAUCUUUGCUAGAUUUUUUCCAUGUUUUAUAAGCAGGCUUUACCUUGUUUUCUCUCAUUCAUACAUGGUCUUAUUCUCUUCCCCAUUUGGCUUUCAUUUCCUUAGCAUUUUGUCCCUGUGCAUCCGGGAUUUGGCAUUUUUAUUGUAACAGCGAACUGAUUUUGUGUUGAAGAAAUAAAGGGUAUAUUUAGGGAAUACUCUUAAAAGUGGAAUUGAUUUGUCAUACAGUAGGUAACUCUAUGUUUAGCUCAUUGGAGGAACCACUAAACUGUUUUUCAGACAACUAUGCCAUUUCACAUUCCCCUAGCAGUAUAUGAGGGCUCCAAUUUCUCCAUAUCCUCACUAACACUUGUUUGUGUCUGACUUUUUGAUUCUAGCCAUCAUAAGGGGUGUAAAUUGGUAUUUCAUUGUGGUUUGGAUUCAAAUUUCCCUGAUGGCUAAUAAUGUUGAAUAUCUUUUUGUGUGCUUAUUGGAAAUUUGUAUAUCUUUUCAAAGAAAUGUCUAUUCCGAUGCUUUGCCCAUUUUUAAAUUAGUUUAUUUGCUUUUUUAUUAUUGUGAUGUAAGAACAUGUGUAUUUACAUGUUCUGAAUACAAGUUGUUUCUCAGAUAUGUGAUUUGCAAAUAUUGUCUCUCAUUUUGUGUUUUGCGUUUUCGCUUUCUUGGUGGUGUCCUUUGGAGCACAAAAGUUUUUAAUUUCGAUGAAGUCCAACUUACCUGUUGUUUUUCUUUCAUCACUGUGGUUUUCGUGUUGUUUCUAAGAAAGCUUUGCCUAACUCAAGAUCACAAAGAUUUACUCCUUAGAGUAAGAUUUCUUCAAAACUUUGAUCCAUUUGGAGUCAAUUUUUGUUUAUAGUGUUAGGUAGAGUUUCAAUUUUUGGUCUUUCACAUGUGGAUAUCCAGUUGUUCUGGCACUAUUUGUUGAAAAGAAGUGGAUUUCAAUUCAACUGAAUUGUCUCAGCACUCUAGCACCAAUAUAGUUUUAAUAAUAGCAGGAUAUAUUCAUUAGAGCUAGCAAAAAAGUAUUCUUGACCUGCACAGUGACAUCAAGUCCCUAAUUCCUUUCUUCUCUUUCAAUUAUUAUCGCUAUGAACCUAGGACUUUCAAAACCAGAAUGCAAAUUGCUUUAUCAAUAAAUACUUUUGGAAUGAAGCUCUCAAGUAAAGAACAAAAAACUUCACUGGCCUUUUAAAUUUUCUCUUUGCUCUUGAAUCCAAAAUGAAGGCAGUCUCUCAUUUAGCAGCUUGUUAAGUAGUCUAAUGCAUAAACACUUAAGUGUUUGAUUGUAUAACAUCAUCUCUAUGAUUUAGUUCCAUUAUGUCCACAUCAACUGAAUGCAGAAUAAAUGUGAUGAAUGUCUUCUCAGAUGUUCAGCUUUAACAAAUGGGACUCAUUUCUCGCUACUACUGAAGCCACCAUUGCUUGAUACGGUUCAUGUAUUAUGUUCCAUUUGUGGCACAUGAACAACAUCUAUUUGCAGAGAUUCACCCAUAACCAUGAGAAAUAUCGUGAACUAUAGUUCAGUGUAUCAAGUUGUUUUCUUCAGGAUCUUUUGGCCAACUUACGUAUAACUCUUUUCCAAAUAAAAAUAUUUGUUGUUUUUGGAAUUACUGUUGGGGUUAAUGAAUAUCCUUUUUGGCAUCACUGAGACAAUAAGUGUUAGAGUACAAAUUAAAAUUGUAUUCCCUGGGGAUUUUUAUUCUUUGGAUCAAUAGGUAAAAGAAAAGAUGUCUAAAAACAAGCCAAUUGAAAAAUUAUUCAACUCUUAAAAGAAAACAUAGGGUAAAAGCUUCAUGACAUUGGAUACGGCAAUGAUUUCUUGGGUAUGACUCCAAAAGCACAGGCAACAAAAAGAAAAAUAGAUAAAUCAGACAUUGUCAAAAUUAAACACUUUUAUGCAUCAAAGGACACUAUCCACAGAGUGAAAAGGAAACCCACAGGAAGGGAUAAAAUGUUUAAUUCAGUAUUAAUAGCUACCUAAUUAGAUAUUAAUAUCCAGGAUAUAUAAAGAACUCCUACAACUCAACAAAAACAAUAGCAAUGCAGUAACCAAAACAAUAAGCAAUCCAAAUAAAAAAUGGGCAAAGGAUCUGAAUAGAUAUUUCUCCCAAGAAGAUAUACAAAUGACUAAUAAGCACAGGAAAGGAUGCUCAACAUUGUUAACUAUUAGGGAAGUGCAAAUCAAAAUCACACUGAGAUAACACUUCACACCAUUACAAUGGCUAUUAUAAGAAAACACACACACACAAAAUAACAUGUUGGUAAGGAGUGGAGAAAUUGGAACCUUUAUGUGUUGCCAGUGGAAAUGUAAAAUGGUAUGUCCCCUGUGGAAAGAGCUAUGACACUUCCUCAAAAAAUUAAACAUAGGGGCUGGCCCUAUGGUAUAGUGGUUAAGUUUGGCACACUCUGCUUUGGUGGCCCGGGUUCACAGAUUAAGAUCCCCGGCACAGACCUACACCACUUGUCGGCCAUGCUGUGGUGGUGACCCAUGUAUAAAGUGGAGAAAGAAGGGCAUGGAUGUUAGCUCAGGGCUAAUCUUCCUCCAGAAAAAUAAAUAAAUAAGUAAAUAAACAUAGAAUUACCCCAUGAUUCAGCAAUUCCACUUCUGGGUAGGUACCCCAAAGAGUUGAAAGCAGAGACUCAAACAGAUAUUUACAUACUCACAUUCAUAGCACCACUAUUCACAGUAGCCAAAAUGUGAAAGCAACCCACAUGUCCAUCAACAGAUGAAUGGAUAAACAAAAUGUGGUAUAUACAUACAGUGGAAUAUUAUUCAGCCUUAAAAAGGACUGAAAUUCUGACACAUGCUACAACAUGGAUAAAACUCGAAGACAUUUUAUGCUAAGUGAAAUAAGCCAAUUACAAAAGGACAAAUAUCGUAUGAGUCUACUUAUAUGAUGUACCUGGAAUAGUCAAAUUCCUAGUGACAGAAAGUAGAACUGUGGCUACCAGAGGCUGAGGGGAGGGGGAAUGAGGAGUUAUUGUUGAACACGUGCAGAGUUGCAGUCUGGUAUGAUGAAAAGGUUCCAGAGAUGGAUGGUGAUGAUGGUUGCACAACGAUGUGAAUGUUCUUAAUGCCUUUCUC
Equus caballus (horse) is the source of this 4337-nucleotide long non-coding RNA. The record is from Ensembl. NCBI's taxonomy places the organism in Eukaryota, Metazoa, Chordata, Mammalia, Perissodactyla, Equidae.